RNAcentral lists this ribosomal RNA (460 nucleotides) under uncultured bacterium. RNAcentral's name for it is "partial 16S ribosomal RNA". It matches the Rfam family "Bacterial small subunit ribosomal RNA", at positions 338 to 795 of the family's 1533-position model. The record is from RNAcentral.
CCUACGGGAGGCAGCAGUGAGGAAUAUUGGUCAAUGGGCGGGAGCCUGAACCAGCCAAGUCGCGUGAGGGAAGACGGUCCUACGGAUUGUAAACCUCUUUUGCCGGGGAGCAACGGGGUCCUUGCGAGGGCCCGAUGAGAGUACCCGGAGAAAAAGCAUCGGCUAACUCCGUGCCAGCAGCCGCGGUACUACGGAGGAUGCGAGCGUUAUCCGGAUUUAUUGGGUUUAAAGGGUGCGUAGGCGGUCCGUUACGUCAGCGGUAAAAUUGCGGGGCUCAACCCCGUCGAGCCGUUGAAACUGGCAGACGUGAGUUGGCGAGAAGUACGCGGAAUGCGCGGUGUAGCGGUGAAAUGCAUAGAUAUCGCGCAGAACUCCGAUUGCGAAGGCAGCAUACCGGCGCUCAACUGACGCUCAUGCACGAAAGUGUGGGUAUCGAACAGGAUUAGAUACCCCUGUAGUC